RNAcentral lists this ribosomal RNA (212 nucleotides) under uncultured archaeon. Its description in RNAcentral is "partial 16S ribosomal RNA". It matches the Rfam family "Archaeal small subunit ribosomal RNA", at positions 513 to 724 of the family's 1478-position model. The record is from RNAcentral.
AAGCGUCCGUAGCUGGCCCUGCAAGUCCGUCGGGAAAUCCACUCGCCUAACGAGUGGGCGUCCGGCGGAAACUACAGGGCUUGGGACCGGAAGACUUGAGGGGUACGUCUGGGGUAAGAGUGAAAUCCUGUAAUCCUGGACGGACCGCCGAUAGCGAAAGCACCUCAAGACGACGGAUCCGACAGUGAGGGACGAAAGCUAGGGUCUCGAAC